GCAUGCCUAUACAUGCAAGUCGAGCGCAGGAAGCAGGCAGAUCCCCUUCGGGGGUGAUGCCUGUGGAAUGAGCGGCGGACGGGUGAGUAACACGUGGGCAACCUGCCUGUAAGAUCGGAAUAACUCCGGGAAACCGGGGCUAAUGCCGGGUAAUCCUUUUUUUCGCAUGAGAGAGAGGUAAAAGAUGGCCUUUGGCUAUCACUUACAGAUGGGCCCGCGGCGCAUUAGCUAGUUGGUGAGGUAAUAGCUCACCAAGGCGACGAUGCGUAGCCGACCUGAGAGGGUGAUCGGCCACACUGGGACUGAGACACGGCCCAGACUCCUACGGGAGGCAGCAGUAGGGAAUCUUCCGCAAUGGACGAAAGUCUGACGGAGCAACGCCGCGUGAACGAUGAAGGUCUUCGGAUCGUAAAGUUCUGUUGUUAGGGAAGAACAAGUACCGUGCGAAUAGAGCGGUACCUUGACGGUACCUAACGAGGAAGCCCCGGCUAACUACGUGCCAGCAGCCGCGGUAAUACGUAGGGGGCAAGCGUUGUCCGGAAUUAUUGGGCGUAAAGCGCGCGCAGGCGGUUUCUUAAGUCUGAUGUGAAAGCCCACGGCUCAACCGUGGAGGGUCAUUGGAAACUGGGGAACUUGAGGACAGAAGAGGAGAGUGGAAUUCCACGUGUAGCGGUGAAAUGCGUAGAUAUGUGGAGGAACACCAGUGGCGAAGGCGACUCUCUGGUCUGUUUCUGACGCUGAGGUGCGAAAGCGUGGGUAGCAAACAGGAUUAGAUACCCUGGUAGUCCACGCCGUAAACG
This 800-nucleotide ribosomal RNA is filed under the name Halobacillus sp. JSM 101029. RNAcentral describes it as "bacterial SSU rRNA". It matches the Rfam family "Bacterial small subunit ribosomal RNA", at positions 42 to 808 of the family's 1533-position model. Lineage: Bacteria; Bacillati; Bacillota; Bacilli; Caryophanales; Bacillaceae. The record is from RNAcentral.